ACGCUGGCGGCAGGCCUAACACAUGCAAGUCGAGCGGUAGAGAGAAGCUUGCUUCUCUUGAGAGCGGCGGACGGGUGAGUAAUGCCUAGGAAUCUGCCUGGUAGUGGGGGAUAACGUUCGGAAACGGACGCUAAUACCGCAUACGUCCUACGGGAGAAAGCAGGGGACCUUCGGGCCUUGCGCUAUCAGAUGAGCCUAGGUCGGAUUAGCUAGUUGGUGGGGUAAUGGCUCACCAAGGCGACGAUCCGUAACUGGUCUGAGAGGAUGAUCAGUCACACUGGAACUGAGACACGGUCCAGACUCCUACGGGAGGCAGCAGUGGGGAAUAUCGGACAAUGGGCGAAAGCCUGAUCCAGCCAUGCCGCGUGUGUGGAAGAAGGUCUUCGGAUUGUAAAGCACUUUAAGUUGGGAGGAAGGGUUGUAGAUUAAUACUCUGCAAUUUUGACGUUACCGACAGAAUAAGCACCGGCUAACUCUGUGCCAGCAGCCGCGGUAAUACAGAGGGUGCAAGCGUUAAUCGGAAUUACUGGGCGUAAAGCGCGCGUAGGUGGUUUGUUAAGUUGGAUGUGAAAUCCCCGGGCUCAACCUGGGAACUGCAUUCAAAACUGACUGACUAGAGUAUGGUAGAGGGUGGUGGGAUUUCCUGUGUAGCGGUGAAAUGCGUA
Molecule: ribosomal RNA, 665 nt
Filed under: uncultured bacterium
Lineage: Bacteria
Description: bacterial SSU rRNA
Rfam family: Bacterial small subunit ribosomal RNA
Source: RNAcentral